Molecule: ribosomal RNA, 253 nt
Filed under: uncultured bacterium
Lineage: Bacteria
Description: partial 16S ribosomal RNA
Rfam family: Bacterial small subunit ribosomal RNA
Source: RNAcentral
UACGGAGGAUCCGAGCGUUAUCCGGAUUUAUUGGGUUUAAAGGGUGCGUAGGCGGCCUGUUAAGUCAGAGGUGAAAGACGGUGGCUCAACCAUCGCAGUGCCUUUGAUACUGACAGGCUUGAAUGAACUUGAGGUAGGCGGAAUGAGACAAGUAGCGGUGAAAUGCAUAGAUAUGUCUCAGAACACCAAUUGCGAAGGCAGCUUACUAAAGUUUAAUUGACGCUGAGGCACGAAAGCGUGGGGAUCAAACAGG